CCCGACACCCCCAGGCUCAUCUCAUCCCCGGGAACCGAAGGCACCUCUUUCGAAGCGAGGGGAAAAAAGGGGAAAGCAAGCAAGGGCCGCGCAGGGACUCUUCGGAAUUGCAACAGGAAGGCUACACGGACCCUGGGAAAGAUGAGGAGGAUUUCACCAGGUGGCCAAGGGAAGAAUGAUAUUCCAGAAGGAGGAGAAACUAGCUCAGCCGGAAGAGGGGCGAUAGCCAUCAUGGAUGCGGAUAAGAAGCCAAGUCUGCUCCGGACAGCAGCCAAGCCCUCCCAGCUGCCCAUCCAGUCCCUCCACCAGGCUCUGCAACCAGGAGGACAUUCGAAUGAAAUAGAGGACAGUCACCAUGCCUCAGGCAGGGUAGUCUUGUGUUCUGUUGGUGACUUCACAGGAAACUGACUUCUCUGAAGAAGGUGGAGGAGAGGGGACAGAGGUACCUUGAUGUGAAUAUACAGCCAAAGUGGUCCUCUGCUUCCAGCCCUUGCUCAAAGGACUUGGAAACUCAAGGAAUCUGCUCCCAGCCAUGGACUUUCACAUUUGCCUGCAGCAAAAGGCUGGUGGGCAGCCAGGCACGGUGGUACAAGCCUGUAAUCCCGGGAACUUGGGAGGUUGAAGAUAGAAGGACAGCAAGU
Ictidomys tridecemlineatus (thirteen-lined ground squirrel) is the source of this 641-nucleotide non-coding RNA. NCBI's taxonomy places the organism in Eukaryota, Metazoa, Chordata, Mammalia, Rodentia, Sciuridae. The record is from RefSeq and is a predicted model, not a curated record.